This 465-nucleotide ribosomal RNA is filed under the name uncultured bacterium. RNAcentral describes it as "partial 16S ribosomal RNA". It matches the Rfam family "Bacterial small subunit ribosomal RNA", at positions 28 to 507 of the family's 1533-position model. The record is from RNAcentral.
GACGAACGCUGGCGGCGUGCUUAACACAUGCAAGUCGAACGGAAAGGCCCUGCUUGCAGGGUACUCGAGUGGCGAACGGGUGAGUAACACGUGGGUGAUCUGCCCUGCACUUCGGGAUAAGCUUGGGAAACUGGGUCUAAUACCGGAUAGGACCGCACUUUAGUGUGUGUGGUGGAAAGUUUUUUCGGUGUAGGAUGAGCUCGCGGCCUAUCAGCUUGUUGGUGGGGUAAUGGCCUACCAAGGCGGCGACGGGUAGCCGGCCUGAGAGGGUGUACGGCCACAUUGGGACUGAGAUACGGCCCAGACUCCUACGGGAGGCAGCAGUGGGGAAUAUUGCACAAGGGGCGCAAGCCUGAUGCAGCGACGCCGCGUGGGGGAUGAAGGCCUUCGGGUUGUAAACUCCUUUCGCUAGGGACGAAGCUUUUUGUGACGGUACCUAGAUAAGAAGCACCGGCUAACUACGUG